CGGAGGGUGCAAGCGUUAAUCGGAAUUACUGGGCGUAAAGCGCACGCAGGCGGUCUGUCAAGUCGGAUGUGAAAUCCCCGGGCUCAACCUGGGAACUGCAUUCGAAACUGGCAGGCUAGAGUCUUGUAGAGGGGGGUAGAAUUCCAGGUGUAGCGGUGAAAUGCGUAGAGAUCUGGAGGAAUACCGGUGGCGAAGGCGGCCCCCCUGGACAAAGACUGACGCUCAGGUGCGAAAAGCGUGGGGGAGCAAAACAGGAUU
This 258-nucleotide ribosomal RNA is filed under the name uncultured bacterium. RNAcentral's name for it is "partial 16S ribosomal RNA". It matches the Rfam family "Bacterial small subunit ribosomal RNA", at positions 526 to 779 of the family's 1533-position model. The record is from RNAcentral.